Molecule: ribosomal RNA, 279 nt
Filed under: Triticum aestivum (bread wheat)
Lineage: Eukaryota; Viridiplantae; Streptophyta; Magnoliopsida; Poales; Poaceae
Description: partial small subunit ribosomal RNA
Source: RNAcentral
AUGGGGAUGUUGGUGCUGUUCAAGAGGCCUGCUGGGCUCGCCCUUUUCAAGGUUCUGAACCAGGGCAAGCUCGACAAGGUCGAGGAUCUAUGGAAGGAGUUCACGACUCGGGCUCGACGAGAAAGGUUGGUGAAAUUACAACAAAUCUGGAGUUGUUGCUUUCAUGCUGAUGAGGGGUGCAGAACUAACUUAAGGAUGUGUCGUUGUCUCUGCAAAGGGAGUUUUUGCUUGGUGCGUCACUUCCUAUUCGGAGAUGCAACGUCGUGUUUGCCCGGGUAG